This 571-nucleotide long non-coding RNA is filed under the name Physcomitrium patens. RNAcentral's name for it is "long non-coding RNA (PPAT_LNC001261)". The record is from RNAcentral. Lineage: Eukaryota; Viridiplantae; Streptophyta; Bryopsida; Funariales; Funariaceae.
AACACCAUAUCUUCUAAUGUUUCUACCAUAGCAAAUAAUAGUUGUUUGGACAUAUAUGUAGUGUGUCAAUUUAAGCCUAAUCACUUCUAAAUAAAAUGCAUCCAUUCCAUAAGCUCUAGUAUAAGUGCCUCCACCAUCCAUCAACCUUGAUUCUUCUCAAAUGACAACAUACCACCUUUGAAAUAGCUUCUUGAUCUAAAAUCACCAAACAUUUCAGCAUCCACUACAAGCUCAUCAAUUUGGAGGUACAAUACCUUUUGUAAGGUAGUCUCAUUGAUCCCAAUAAUACUCUCCUUGAAAACACUGAAACCAUCUUCCAGAUCAUAAUUGGUUAUAUAUUCUUCCAACAAUUCUACAUCAAUUGGUGGUAAGUCAUUAGAUCCUCGUAAAAAUUGAUAUAAUUAUACAUUUUUAAAAUCUCUUUGUUUUUUUUGUAUUCCAGCAGAAUUCCAACUUCAUUAGUUCUAUAUUGGUAAGAACCACUAGGAACGGCGACCUCAAACUACUCUUAGCUCUCAGAUUACGACAGCUUUCUUUUCUGUCUAUAGCUCUCUUCAUUCUUUCUAUUGAC